Molecule: long non-coding RNA, 250 nt
Filed under: Coturnix japonica (Japanese quail)
Lineage: Eukaryota; Metazoa; Chordata; Aves; Galliformes; Phasianidae
Description: lncRNA (ENSCJPG00005015682.1)
Source: RNAcentral
UUGGGAAUAUUCGGUCUCACAGCUCCUUUCCCCACCAUUACAGCUGUGCCCUGGUGCAGGGAGAAGAAAAUGGAUAUCAAAGUGAGAGCAUACGUGACAUGGAGUCAGGUGCAGACAAGCCCAGGCUGAGUGUUGCCAAGCCUUCCCCGCCACCUGCAUGGAGCAGAGAGCAUCUGUGCUCCCUGUGGAUGUGUCUCCUUUCAGUCACCUGCCCAUUGGACAAGGCAGCCUGAGCCUGUGCUAUUUUUGU